UACGAAGGGGGCGAGCGUUGUUCGGAAUUACUGGGCGUAAAGCGUGCGUAGGCGGUUCGUUAAGUCAGCUGUGAAAGCCCCGGGCUCAACCUGGGAACUGCGGUUGAAACUGGCGAACUAGAAUCUGGCAGAGGGGGGUGGAAUUCCACGUGUAGCAGUGAAAUGCGUAGAGAUGUGGAGGAACACCGAUGGCGAAGGCAGCCCCCUGGGCUGAGAUUGACGCUCAGGCACGAAAGCGUGGGGAGCAAACAGG
This 253-nucleotide ribosomal RNA is filed under the name uncultured bacterium. RNAcentral's name for it is "partial 16S ribosomal RNA". It matches the Rfam family "Bacterial small subunit ribosomal RNA", at positions 524 to 776 of the family's 1533-position model. The record is from RNAcentral.